CCUACGGGGGACUGCAGUGGGGAAUAUUGGACAAUGGGGGCAACCCUGAUCCAGCCAUGCCGCGUGUGUGAAGAAGGCCCUCGGGUUGUAAAGCACUUUCAGUGAGGAAGAACGCCUGGUGGUUAAUACCCAUCAGGAAAGACAUCACUCACAGAAGAAGCACCGGCUAACUCCGUGCCAGCAGCCGCGGUAAUACGGAGGGUGCGAGCGUUAAUCGGAAUUACUGGGCGUAAAGCGCGCGUAGGUGGCUUGAUAAGCCGGUUGUGAAAGCCCCGGGCUCAACCUGGGAACGGCAUCCGGAACUGUCAAGCUAGAGUGCAGGAGAGGAAGGUAGAAUUCCCGGUGUAGCGGUGAAAUGCGUAGAGAUCGGGAGGAAUACCAGUGGCGAAGGCGGCCUUCUGGACUGACACUGACACUGAGGUGCGAAAGCGUGGGUAGCAAACAGGAUUAGAUACCCGUGUAGUC
RNAcentral lists this ribosomal RNA (465 nucleotides) under Vreelandella stevensii. RNAcentral describes it as "partial 16S ribosomal RNA". It matches the Rfam family "Bacterial small subunit ribosomal RNA", at positions 338 to 795 of the family's 1533-position model. Lineage: Bacteria; Pseudomonadati; Pseudomonadota; Gammaproteobacteria; Oceanospirillales; Halomonadaceae. The record is from RNAcentral.